AAGACAUGCGAGUCGAACGAAAAUUUACGCUUAAAGAGUUGAUUAGUUUACUAAGAGAUGAUUUAUUGUAAAUUUUAGUGGCGGACUGGUGAGUAAUACAUAGGUAAUCUGCCUUUUAGAGGGGAAUAACUAGGAGAAAUCCUAGCUAAUACCGCGUAAGACCACACUUAGGCAUCUAAGAGAGGUCAAAGGAGUAAUCCGCUAAAAGAUGAGCCUGUGGCUGAUUAGUUAGUUGGUGGGGUAAGAGCCUACCAAGACGAUGAUCAGUAGCCGAGCUGAGAGGCUGGCCGGCCACAUUGGGACUGAGAUACGGCCCAGACUCCUACGGGAGGCAGCAGUUGGGAAUAUUGGACAAUGGAGGAAACUCUGAUCCAGUGACGCCGCGUGAAGGAAGAAGGUCUUCGGAUUGUAAACUUAUUUUAUCAGGGAAGAAGAAAGUGACAGUACCUGAAGAAAAAGGACCGGCAAAAUACGUGCCAGCAGCCGCGGUAAUACGUAGGGUCCAAGCGUUAUCCGGAUUUACUGGGUGUAAAGGGCGAGUAGACGGCGCUGUAAGUCAGCUGUGAAAACUUAGGGCUCAACCUUAAGCCUGCAGCUGAAACUGUAGUGCUAGAGUGCAGGAGAGGUAAGCGGAAUUCCUAGUGUAGCGGUGAAAUGCGUAGAUAUUAGGAGGAACACCAGUGGCGAAGGCGGCUUACUGGACUGUAACUGACGUUGAGGCGCGAAAGUGUGGGGAGCAAACAGGAUUAGAUACCCUGGUAGUCCACACCGUAAAUGAUGGAUACUAGGUGUAGGCGAGAUAUCGUCUGUGCCGGCGCAAACGCAAUAAGUAUCCC
RNAcentral lists this ribosomal RNA (836 nucleotides) under uncultured Bacillota bacterium. RNAcentral describes it as "bacterial SSU rRNA". It matches the Rfam family "Bacterial small subunit ribosomal RNA", at positions 50 to 870 of the family's 1533-position model. The record is from RNAcentral. Lineage: Bacteria; Bacillati; Bacillota.